GGUUGAGCGUGGAGACUAGUAUUUUGACUGAUACUCGAGCACAGAGUUGACUGGUUUCGGCAAGUUGCGGAGAGGUAGACUAAGAAAACACCAUGGUGGGAGUGGAGUGCAGGUCUGAGCAGGCGAGGGUGUGAUCCCUCUACGAUUGGUCGACAAAGAGACCGACGGCCCGACAGCUCCAGACUGUUAGAUAAGGAAAAUGGCUCGAAAUGUUGCCUUUGACCUGAACAACCCUCUCAUGGAAGCUGGACUGGAGAGCCCAAUAGACGAGGAAGGUGUUCAUGACUCGUUCAGCCAGCUGAUAGCGGAGCAGAGUCAGAAUGGAGGAGCGUCUGACUCUGACACCUUCGAGCUGCAGGAGCUGCAGAGACAACUGGACGAGGAGGAGCGAGACAAUGUUGCCUUCCUGUCAGAUCCUGGACGUGAGUUUCAGGGAAGGAGGCAAAGGGACGCAGAAUGGGAGGACGCUGACACCCAGGCGGACCCCCUCAUAGGGGAACGAUGGUCCUCUGCAACCUUGAAGAUCCUCUCCUCCAUGCCCAGCCGAACGAUCGGUCGCAACAGGGGCGCCAUCAUCUCGCAGUACUACAACCGCACCAUGCAGCUCCGGAGACGCAGACAGAGCCGACCCGCCAUCCGAGACUUCUCCCGCUCUGCCAGACCCAGCAUACGGGGCUACGGCAUCGAGACCGACAGUGCGGACGCAGAGGUGAGUAAGAGGGACCGUUUGGUGAACAACCUGCAGAACCUGUCAGUCAGCGACAGAAUCCGGAUGCUCCGAGCGAUGCCUCUCAAUGUUUCCGAAAAGAGUGAACUCAGGAGCUUAGCUUUACAAAAGGAGAAACGCACGCUUUCUCGUCGCAUUCCCUGCUGCAGUCAACUCAAAUAUUACAUCAUCAAUGGGGCGAGGCAGGGUUGGUACAGCUGGCUCUCCUUCCUGCACUCCCUCCAUCUGUGGCAAGUGCCGCUCAAGAGAGUGAGCGGACGUUUCGGCAGCGGCGUCCUCUCCUACUUCCUGUUCCUAAAGACCCUACUCUUCUUCAACGUCUUCCUGUUCCUGGUGACGGGGGCCUUCAUGGUGCUGCCUCAGGCGUUGCACCCUCCAGAGUCGUUUGUAGGGAGACCCUACUUCACUGGACUGGAGCUCCUCACCGGCGCCGGCUAUUUCUCAGAUACUGUGAUGUACUAUGGCUACUACUGUAACUACACACUGCGUAAGAGCUGCAGGGAUGAUGGGGGGGUGCACAAUGUCUCUCUGUCCAAUGGGACCAUGCCGGACUGUGUGUCCAAGCACCUGUCCUACAACAUGCCGCUGGCAUACUUUUUCACCAUAGGAGUGUCUUCCUUCCUCACCUGCAUCAUUCUUGUGUACAGCAUGUCAAAGUCGUUUGGGCAGAGCUUCCGAAUCGACAAAUCUCACAGCAUCCUGGCAAUAAAGACCUUCUGCUCCUGGGACUUCAAGGUCAUUAAAAAAUCUUCCGUCAAACUCAUGUCUGAGAAUAUCUGCACCCAGUUCAAGGAGCUGCUGGCAGAGGUGAGUCACAAGCAGGUGAAGAACACUCGGUGCCAGAGGCUGUGGAGGCUGAUGGUCCACGGCCUGGCCUGGGCUAUCUGCGUGGCCAGCACCACGGCCUGUGUGCUGGCCAUCUUCUACUGCUCUAGUCACAUGCAUCAGAACCUCCAGUUAUUUCUGAGCAGUCGCGUCCCCGUCACCAACCCGCUGCUGAACGAGGCCAGUCUGCUGGCCCUCCCCGUCCUGGUGUCGCUCAUCAACCUGCUGUUGCCCGGCCUCUUCAACCUGGCUGCCUGGAUGGAGGACUACGAGUCCCCGUCUGUACGCACAUAUGUCUCCAUCGGCAGAAACUUGAUGUUGAAAGUGAGCGUGCUGGGAGUCCUGUGCUAUCACUGGCUGGGUCGGGUGGCUGCUGACCCCAUGACUAUUGGCCUGAAGUGCUGGGAGACUUUUGUCGGCCAGGAGCUUUAUCGUUUCCUGCUCAUGGACUUCAUCUUCACGAUACUGGACACCUUGUUUGGAGAGUUCCUUUGGAGGUUGUUCUCUGAGAAGGUGCUGAAGAGGAGGAGGAAACCGGUGUUUGACAUCGCCAGGAAUGUCCUCGAACUGAUCUACGGACAGACGUUGGCCUGGUUAGGCGUUCUCUUCACUCCUGUCCUGCCUGCAGUGCAGAUCCUCAAACUGUUGCUGCUCUUCUACAUUAAAAUGAGCAGUGUGAUGAUGAACUGUCAGGCUCCCAGGAAGCCGUACAGAGUGAGCCAGAUGACCACCGUCUUCAUCACGCUCCUCUGCUUCCCCUCCUUCCUCGGCGCCUCCGUGUGCGUCACUUACACCAUGUGGAGCAUCCCUGUGUUACAGCUAAGCAGAAGAGGACGCCCAUUAUGUUUACACCCAUCACCCCUUCCUCAUCGUGCGGCCCCUUCCGAGAGCUCAAAACGAUGUUCCAGGCGGGGAAGCGGUGGGUGGAGGAACUGGAAAAAGAUAAUCCCAACCUGUCGGUGCUGGCCCGAGCUCACUCCUACCUGGUGGAAAACCCUUUCUUCCUGUUUGUGGGAGCAGGCAUCUUCCUGAUCGUCAUCUACUUCCACAGUCAGGUGGUGGACGGUCAGAGGAAGAUCAUCGGCCUACUGCAGGAGCAGAUAGAAAAUGAAGGAGAUGAUAAGAAGUUUCUGAUCACUCGCCUCCAGACAAUCCACGAGCAAAAACGAACCCCCACUCGACGACUCGCCAGUCAGAACUCAAACUGUUGAGAGCACAUCCUCCAGCAGACAAGCCUCCUCAAUUCUCUGAGCACUGAGGUCUGCAGAAAUGGAUUGAACUGGAAUAAUAACAGGGACAUUUAAAUGUAUAGUACAUUUAAAAUCUGGCCAGUCAUUUAUGGCUGGAGCUUUUGUAAAGAUGCAAAACAAACCAAGUGGAAAUAUGGGGUGAAACAGAGCUGUGUGCUUUAUGCAGUGUAUGAAUGAUACCCAUACUCCAACGUUAGGAAGUCGUCAGACGCACAGCAAAACCCUGAAGCUGAUGUUAAUCAGUUUACACAGAAUUUAAAUCAUCUCCUUUAAAAGCACUUUCAUAUCAACUGUGAACAAAUCGUUUUUAUUAUUAUAUCUUGUGCAAACUUGGUAUUUUAUUUUUUUUAUGCUUUUAUUUUUUAAAAUGUUUAUCAGUGUGUAUUUUGUACAGUAGGUAGACUUUGGAUGUUGUGGGUGUGAGUAUGAUAAUACCGGAAAUGACUUCUUGUUUUUCCAUUUAAUUUUUCUGCAAAUGCCCUUGUUCUGUCAUUCUGUGGUAAUUAAAUUAUGUUUUAAUCUA
Gymnodraco acuticeps is the source of this 3325-nucleotide RNA transcript. It is a transcript of the gene named transmembrane channel-like 6b, with no coding region annotated. Lineage: Eukaryota; Metazoa; Chordata; Actinopteri; Perciformes; Bathydraconidae. The transcript is spliced from 22 exons. The record is from RefSeq and is a predicted model, not a curated record.